RNAcentral lists this ribosomal RNA (278 nucleotides) under uncultured Prevotella sp. Its description in RNAcentral is "partial 16S ribosomal RNA". It matches the Rfam family "Bacterial small subunit ribosomal RNA", at positions 79 to 354 of the family's 1533-position model. The record is from RNAcentral. Lineage: Bacteria; Pseudomonadati; Bacteroidota; Bacteroidia; Bacteroidales; Prevotellaceae.
CUUUCCUUGAUGACGACUGGCGCACGGGUGAGUAACGCGUAUCCAACCUUCCCAUAACUACGGGAUAACCCGUUGAAAGACGGCCUAAUACCGUAUGAUAUCGUUUGCUGACAUCAAAUAACGAUUAAAGGUUUUAGCGGUUAUGGAUGGGGAUGCGUCUGAUUAGCUUGUUGGCGGGGUAACGGCCCACCAAGGCAACGAUCAGUAGGGGUUCUGAGAGGAAGGUCCCCCACAUUGGAACUGAGACACGGUCCAAACUCCUACGGGAGGCAGCAGAA